Molecule: long non-coding RNA, 554 nt
Filed under: Homo sapiens (human)
Lineage: Eukaryota; Metazoa; Chordata; Mammalia; Primates; Hominidae
Description: non-protein coding lnc-TP53TG5-1:3
Source: RNAcentral
GGCCGGCCGGGCGGGUCAGAGCUGGAAGGGUGGGCCGCUACGCCGCGCCCCCCGACGCCGGCAAGGAGCCAGCACCUCCACGGUGCUAAGAGGGGCGCUGCGCUGCUGGCCAGGCGGGGGUGGAGGGGCGAGGCGGCAACUGCGAGAGGAGAAACGUUUGCCCUCUUUUCGCAGCGUCUCCUGGCUCAGACCAGUGCUAGAAGUGUCCAGUCUAGCAGCUCCUGGACCAAGACUCCGUGGCCAUUCCCUUCCUCCUGCCUUCCAUCCACCCCCUUACGAUACAGAAGUUGAGAUACAGAGAGGUGAAGGAACUUGUCCCAGGCCCUACAGCUAAUGCAAGAUGAGAAACUGCGGGACGAGACAGAGCAGCCUGUGAGCAAAGUAAUUGAGCGGAACCGUCUGAGAACGGUGUUAAAAAACUUGUCGCUCUUGAAGCUACUCAAGAGCUCAAACCGCCGGAUCCAAGAACUGCAUAAGCUGGCCAAAAGGUGUUGGCAUUCACUGCUCAGUGUUCCAAAGAUUCUCCGCAUCUCCUCUGGGUAAGCUGGGGCCUG